RNAcentral lists this ribosomal RNA (465 nucleotides) under Vreelandella stevensii. Its description in RNAcentral is "partial 16S ribosomal RNA". It matches the Rfam family "Bacterial small subunit ribosomal RNA", at positions 338 to 795 of the family's 1533-position model. The record is from RNAcentral. Lineage: Bacteria; Pseudomonadati; Pseudomonadota; Gammaproteobacteria; Oceanospirillales; Halomonadaceae.
CCUACGGGGGGCAGCAGUGGGGAAUAUUGGACAAUGGGGGCAACCCUGAUCCAGCCAUGCCGCGUGUGUGAAGAAGGCCCUCGGGUUGUAAAGCACUUUCAGUGAGGAAGAACGCCUGGUGGUUAAUACCCAUCAGGAAAGACAUCACUCACAGAAGAAGCACCGGCUAACUCCGUGCCAGCAGCCGCGGUAAUACGGAGGGUGCGAGCGUUAAUCGGAAUUACUGGGCGUAAAGCGCGCGUAGGUGGCUUGAUAAGCCGGUUGUGAAAGCCCCGGGCUCAACCUGGGAACGGCAUCCGGAACUGUCAAGCUAGAGUGCAGGAGAGGAAGGUAGAAUUCCCGGUGUAGCGGUGAAAUGCGUAGAGAUCGGGAGGAAUACCAGUGGCGAAGGCGGCCCUCUGGACUGACACUGACACUGAGGUGCGAAAGCGUGGGUAGCAAACAGGAUUAGAUACCCCGGUAGUC